RNAcentral lists this long non-coding RNA (3807 nucleotides) under Capsicum annuum. RNAcentral describes it as "long non-coding RNA (CANN_LNC012244)". The record is from RNAcentral. Lineage: Eukaryota; Viridiplantae; Streptophyta; Magnoliopsida; Solanales; Solanaceae.
ACUACUUUACCCCACAUCACUUUUUUUUUUUAACCAACUCACAAAACAACAAAAAUAUAAAAAGGGGACCAGCACUAAGAGAAAGGAAAGAUUCCUUUUGGCUAUUUAUACAUACACAGAACACGCAUAUACCAUUGAUUUUUUUUCUCUCUCUCUUGGGUACACAAUACGGAUGGUCACUCUCCAUUUUUUCUUUGUCUACAGCUUCAUUCAGAUAAAGACAACGACGCCAACACCCAAACCCACAUAAGACCACCUCCAUUUUUUUUAAUUUCCAUGGUAGAACAACAAUAGAACUCCACCAUUGAUGCACACUCCAUUAACACAGACCACUUAAAGAGCAUCAUUUUCGUUUCUUUCUUUUCUUCACAAACACACUAUAUACACACUGAUUGAAAUUUGAAAACAUGAGUGAAAACAGUGAGAAAAGAAGAAAAAUGGGUGAGAUGAAGUGAGAAUCAAAAGGGGAAAAGAAUUCUUCAUGUGUUUAGUCACAGUUCCGGCGACUACUUCGCCGGAAUCUCUAGGUUUUCUCUCAAUCUUGGACGAAUCUAGUUGGGAACAGUCAGAAACAGCUAGUCUCGCUGGAACCAAUGGUUGUCCAGCGGUUUUAUGCCUCGUCGAUCCGGAAUCUGUCUUAAUCCAUUGUGUUUUUGCUUCCUUCUGAGCUCACCGGAGCUCAGGAUACGUCGGUUUUGGUCUUUUAUUGUGUUGACUGAGGCUUUGGAUCAUCUGUCUUAGCAUUUCAGUUUUGAAAUCGAGCUUUGGGUUCAUCGAUCUUCCUUCAUUGAAAUAGUUUCUGGGCAGAUGCUGUGUUGCUACUCUGUUCGAGGUUACAAUUUCCCAAAUACCGGGUUGGAGUUCGGUUCAUUGUCGAGGUUCUUGGCGCGGAUUCUCUUUUGUUUCAAUAGGAUAACAUUCAUAAAAGUAAAAUUUGAGAUUUGGGGUUAUCGGAUUUUUGGACUGUUUCUCGACUGAUUUGGAGAGUUGAGAUUUCAUUGUUAUUCUUCGAGGUUCUUGGACGGGCUCUUUUUUCUCUUGUUAAAAUCAAUCAAAAGCGACAUUUAGGUCCAAUUCUAUCUUAUCUCCCUUUAAAUUCUACGUGAAUAUGAAUGAUUUUUUGCUUGGCAUGUUCGGAUCUUUGUUUGUGUUGGUUGAUUUUGGAUUUGAAUGUGAAAAAUCGAAUUGGUAGUCGAAGAAUUAAAAUUGGUAAUUUGCGUAUUAACUUGGGGGUGGGAAUUUAAAAAUUGAUUUGGUGAAUGUCAAUUAUUUUUUGUUAAUUGUUGAACAUUAUAGUGUUAUGUGUUAGGCCGUUAAAUAAGUAGGCAAACGAUAGGUCGGGGUAGGCAAAUUUUAGGAACGAUAUUUGGUUGAAUGUAGGAAUGUGCAUGUGAAUAGUCUUUUACUUUAUCGCACAAGAUUUGAAGACGUAUUCAUUCCCCAGGGAAUGCCCCGAGGUCACAUUGUACUUAUUCACCGGGGAAUGCCCCGAGUAUUAUGUACUCGGAGAAUGUCCAUGACGAAGGCACGAGACGUCGGGUAAAACCUUGGAGCGUAGUUUAGAAUUAGUGUAGGUUUACUUUUCUGUCCUUUUUUUAUUUUAGGAUGUAGUAAUUGGACUGGACGCUAUAAUUUUGGAUUUGUUUUGUUUGUUUGUUUGUUUGAUUGAUCUGUAGCCGAUAUAUAAAUAUAAAGGAGGCUUAGAAGCAUGCUGAUGUGGCAUUCUUCUAAGGCCCCAUUCCUAUUUUUCUAUUUUCUUAUUUUUUUGGACAUUUUAUUGAUUUAUUAAAUCCAAAAAUUAUCUCAUUUAAUAAAUAAUGCAACUGUUGAUUUUAUGUAAAUUAAACACAUGCGGUUACUAUUUGUAGCUUGUCCGUUUCAAUUCCUUCCUUAUUCACGUCUUUUGAUAUUCCAUCAAGUGUUUCAUAUAAAUUUGAGCACAAUUGGCCAAGCAUCUUUUAUACAUUUUUCAUGAAGAUUGAGUGAAUCUUGAGUUUUUUUUUAAAAAAAAAUAUUGAGUUCUAAGUUUCUUCUAAUAUUUUUUAUUUUUUUUAUGUUACAGCUGUGUGCUCCAACACCUUGCAUAUAAAUUUUGGUCAGGAUGAUUAGAAUGUCACUAUCAUAAGAAAUUUUCAAAGAUAAUAAAUAUAUUCCUUUUUUAGUGUUUAUGAUUUAAAGUUUAUAAGAAAAAUUUAUUACACACAUAAAAUUUUAAUAUAUAUUUCUUUCUAUAUUGUCAUCAGAUAAUUUAAUGACCAAGGAGAAAAAUGCUUUUGCUAGAAGACUUCAGGUACGUAGUUAUUAAACAAGUGAUUUGUUUUUUUCAUGAAAUUUUAAAAUUUAUAGAAUAUAGUAGAGAAAUUCGUGAAAUUGAAUAUAAUAAUCAAUUAAUCUGAAUUUAUUAAAUUGAUAACAAAUUUUUUUUCUCAAAACUAAAUAUACGAGCUGAAAAUCCGAGGAAAAAAUCAUUCUGAGAGAUGCAUGCAACUUGAACAAGAAGCAUGGAUAGAAUUCUAGUAACUAAUACCUCCCUCUCUUCCUCUUAUAUUGGUUUUUUAUAUAACAACUGUAACUUUAGAAGUUAAUAGUAAUUAUAUGUGAAAUAAAGGUAUAAUAUGUGGUUGAACAAAUUUAGUGUUAUAAAAUAAACCAUAAGAUUUGAAGUUGAAAGGAACUUUAGAAUACUUGAGUGAUUUACUAACGUUGUUCUUAAAAGCUAUGGAUGGAGGAUGGAAGAAAGAAAAAGUACAUUAAAGUAUGAUUAUGAUUUUGUUUAAAAACACCCAAUUGAGAUUUAAAAACUACCUAUCUACACACACAUAUAUGCUCUAUCUAAAGUAUGAAAUCAUAUUUAUCUUUUUUGUGAUUUUUUUUUAAUUUCUUUAUCUUUAUAUUAUUAUUUGUACUAGCUAAUGAAUAAAGCAUGAUAAAAUCCCAACUAAAUGUAUUCCAACAAUCAAAAUGUUGUAAAGCUUAGCUUGAAUGAUCCCCACCUAACAGGCUAACAAUCCACGUUUCAUAAUUUUAUUCCUUUUCAGGUGCUACAACUUUCCUAAUUAAUUAUUUCUAAUAAAGGCUUAUUAUUUUUUUGCAAAAAACAAAUGAAAUAAUUCUCUUUUAAUUAAAGAGGCCAUCAAAUCUUAUGGUAGUCUAUUCAACUGAUGUGGUCUCUUCAGAUGCAUCUGUCGCAGUCUGUAAUCUAUAUAUAUUAAUCGUGUAUCAUUAUUUUUUUUUUCAUACCGAAGACUCUUUGGCAAAAUUAUAUUUUGGUUGAUUUCAAGUUCUUUAACUUGUGUUUGGUGAAUUUGAGUUUCAGACAAGAACUAGUGAAUUUUUUUUCGCAUUCUCUGCUCUUCUUCGUUCCUUCAUUCUUUAUUUACUUAUAUGGUCUCCUCUGAAUGAUGAAGGCUAAUUUUAAAAUAGUCAAAGUAACAGAUUUUUAUUAUUGAAAUCUAGCGGAGAUGAUGGAAUGGUAGUGAAAUCAGAAUUUUGUUAAAGAAAUUUAAGAUAUAUCAUAUUUAUUUAUUUAAUUAUAUUUCAUAGGUUGCAAAAAAUCUCCAUCUAUUUAUAUUCUCCAUUUUAAAAUAUAUCUCUUGAACUUCCUUCUUUAUGGCUCACCAAAUCUAUAAAUAGUAAUCAUGAAUUGUCUAUAUGUAUGCUGUUAUUUAUCAAGUAUUUUAUUAAUAUUACUGGUUUACGCAAUACCUGAUUAUUUUGGUUUAUUGUUAAUCUAAUUUAGUUUCAUUGAAUUCAUUCUUGUCCUCUAACCAUUUUUAUUUGUUGGUUGCUAUAGUUGAAAUUCAAAAG